Molecule: ribosomal RNA, 449 nt
Filed under: uncultured bacterium
Lineage: Bacteria
Description: partial 16S ribosomal RNA
Rfam family: Bacterial small subunit ribosomal RNA
Source: RNAcentral
CCUACGGGUGGCUGCAGUGGGGAAUAUUGGACAAUGGGCGCAAGCCUGAUCCAGCAAUGCCGCGUGUGUGAAGAAGGCCUGCGGGUUGUAAAGCACUUUAAGCCGGAAAGAAGGCUGUCUGGAUAAUACCCAGGCAGAUUGGCGUUACCGGCAGAAUAAGCACCGGCUAACUCCGUGCCAGCAGCCGCGGUAAUACGGAGGGUGCGAGUGUUAAUCGGAAUUACUGGGCGUAAAGCGCGCGUAGGCGGUUAAAGCCCUGGGCUUAACCUGGGAACUGCAGUGGAAACUGGCGGGCUAGAGUAUGGUAGAGGAGAGUGGAAUUUCCGGUGUAGCAGUGAAAUGCGUAGAGAUCGGAAGGAACACCAGUGGCGAAGGCGGCUCUCUGGACCAAUACUGACGCUGAGGUGCGAAAGCGUGGGGAGCAAACAGGAUUAGAUACCCCUGUAGUC